This 253-nucleotide ribosomal RNA is filed under the name uncultured bacterium. RNAcentral describes it as "partial 16S ribosomal RNA". It matches the Rfam family "Bacterial small subunit ribosomal RNA", at positions 524 to 776 of the family's 1533-position model. The record is from RNAcentral.
UACGUAGGGACCAAGCGUUGUUCGGAUUUACUGGGCGUAAAGGGCGUGUAGGCGGCGCGGUAAGUCACUUGUGAAAUCUCUGAGCUUAACUCAGAACGGCCAAGUGAUACUGCAGUGCUAGAGUGUGGAAGGGGCAAUCGGAAUUCUUGGUGUAGCGGUGAAAUGCGUAGAUAUCAAGAGGAACACCUGAGGUGAAGACGGGUUGCUGGGCCAACACUGACGCUGAUGCGCGAAAGCCAGGGGAGCAAACGGG